Molecule: ribosomal RNA, 492 nt
Filed under: uncultured bacterium
Lineage: Bacteria
Description: bacterial SSU rRNA
Rfam family: Bacterial small subunit ribosomal RNA
Source: RNAcentral
GAUGAACGCUAGCUACAGGCUUAACACAUGCAAGUCGCGGGGUAACAUCUGGUAGAGCUUGCUCUUCCAGGAUGACGACCGGCGCACGGGUGAGUAACGCGUAUCCAACCUGGCCCAUACCACGGGAUAGCCCGUCGAAAGGCGGAUUAAUACCGUAUGCUGUCAUUAAGAUGCAUAUAUUGAUGACGAAAGGACUGGCGGUAUGGGAUGGGGAUGCGUCCGAUUAGGUAGUCGGCGGGGUAACGGCCCACCGAGCCGACGAUCGGUAGGGGUUCUGAGAGGAAGGUCCCCCACAUUGGAACUGAGACACGGUCCAAACUCCUACGGGAGGCAGCAGUGAGGAAUAUUGGUCAAUGGACGUAAGUCUGAACCAGCCAAGUAGCGUGCAGGAUGACGGCCCUAUGGGUUGUAAACUGCUUUUAUGCGGGGAUAAAGUGAGGGACGUGUCCCUUUUUGCAGGUACCGCAUGAAUAAGGACCGGCUAAUUCCGUG